CGGAAAACUGGGGAUAAUACCCUAUAGACUAUGGAUGCUGGAAUGCUUCGUAGUUGAAAGGUCCGCCGCUGUAGGAUGGGUCUGCGGCCGAUUAGGUUGUUGUUGGGGUAACGGCCCAACAAGCCUGUAAUCGGUACGGGUUGUGGGAGCAAGAGCCCGGAGAUGGAUUCUGAGACACGAAUCCAGGCCCUACGGGGCGCAGGCGGCGGGGAAACCUUUCAAUGCGGGGAAACCGUGAUAGGGGAACUCUGAGUGCCCGUAAAAUCGGGCUGUCCAUCAGUUUAAAUAACUGGUGAAGAAAGGGCCGGGCAAGACCGGUGCCAGCCGCCGCGGUAACA
RNAcentral lists this ribosomal RNA (338 nucleotides) under uncultured archaeon. RNAcentral's name for it is "partial 16S ribosomal RNA". It matches the Rfam family "Archaeal small subunit ribosomal RNA", at positions 133 to 475 of the family's 1478-position model. The record is from RNAcentral.